This is a long non-coding RNA of Anolis carolinensis (green anole), 4786 nucleotides long. The record is from Ensembl. Lineage: Eukaryota; Metazoa; Chordata; Lepidosauria; Squamata; Anolidae.
UUGGACUUUACCUUUUCACACUUCCAGUCACAUUUUAAAAUUCAUUUCCUUUGUUCAAAACUUAAAUCUGAGACUGGGUCUACACUGCCCUAUAUCCCAGGAUCUAAUCCCAGAUUUUCGUUUUAUCCCAGAUUACAUGGCAGUGGGGACUCAUAUAAUCCAGUUUAAAUCAAAUAAUCUGGGAUCAGAUCCUACUUCAUCCUACAGGGGGAAGCAUCUGGUUUCCCCCCCAUUGAUUCAAAUGUAGCACAGGAAGCCUCCCAUGUUGCUGCCACCACAGAGGCAUACGCCAGCUCGUCUAUAGUUUUACAACGAUGUCCAGACAGAAAUAGUUCAAUGUCAUGGGAUGGAAGCCAGUGGGCUUCGUCGUAAAAUUAUAGAAGAUUCAGUGCAUGCUGCCAAAAGUAGCCCCGUCUGAUGAGGUCGUUGGUGGCAACUCAUUGACAAGGAUUCAUAUCCUUUUCCAGAGCACAAGAAAAAGAAGAAGGUCUUGAUGCUGAAGAAGAUGGCACCAAACACAUUCUCAUCUGCUGCUGUAGAGAGGACACAUCUCUAUCUGAAGGAUCGUCAGAAAGUUCCUAGAUUCAUCCAACCCAAGCCCAGCUUAAAGAUCCGAAGGGAGCAGAAAACUGUCUAUACACAGCUUUCAUCUGAACAGUCAGGUCACAUGAAAAACAAUGUAUCUCAUUGCAAUGGUCGUGCAGAAAACUGUGAUCAAGUUUAAAUUAUAAUUUAUAAUUCCAAUUAUAGUAAUUAGUUCUAACUUUGCACCUAUACCUAUAAAUUAGUCAUGCAAAUUUUAUGCAUUUUCAUAUCAUUUUUUAAUCCUCUUCUUUUGGUGAUUUAUAAGUGGUCACCCAUUCUGUACCAAGUUUCCAUUAAUUCUGUGUUAGUUGUCCAAUACAGAUCUUGUGGGCCAGACUUCUGUGAAGGAAGAAACAAUGUACUCCAUUUUAUUUGUUAGUUUAUCUUGUCCCCGACUCCAAAUAUUCAAAUGACACAUUUAAAAGUAAAAUAACUACAAGCCUUCCUGGAGGAACAAGAUAAGGAGAUAAUUAAUGAAGGGAUUAGAUACUACUGAACAGAAUAAUGCAAUCAAGGCAAAGAAUGAAACUAAGCCUUUUUGGCCCAUUACAGCCUCCAUAGAGUUGGGGUGGCGGAACCAUUAGAACAUGUAAUUAUUUAGUUCCUGAGCCUCAUAGAAAUUCCACUUGCAUAAAACUUAAAUAAACUCCACUGAAACUUUUCCAACUCCUAAUAAAAAUACAAUGUGAACCCAAUUCAUUGUUGGCCUAUGUCAGUAUUCUAGGAUAGGGGUAGGGUUGUCAGGUUUUCAAAAACUAUGUUAAGUAAUUUUGUUCCAUUUGUCCCAAGGGUCCUCAAACCUUUUACGACGAGGGCCGGUUGAUGGUCCCGCAGACUUGGGAGGCUGGACUAUAGUUUGAAAAAAAUGAACAAAUUCCUAGGUGUGCAUUUUAACCAACAUAAACUUAUUAGUAUGCCUAUGGAAAGGUUGAGCCUGCUUUUGACUGAUGGUAUAGUCAAGUUAAUUAGGAUUGUUGUUGUGUAGCUUCAAAUCAUUUCAGACUUAUGGUGACCCAAAGUCUAAAGUUUAGGGUAGGGGUCGGGAAAAUGAUCUUUUGAGGGCCACAUCUGGCCAAUGGGCCUUAGUUUGGGGACCUCUGAUUUAUUCCAUACACCCUCACUUUUAUCCAAACAACAGUCCUGUGAAAUAGAUGGCAGUUGACUUAUAGUGACCAUAUCAGCUUUAUGGAAAAUUGGAAAUUAAACUUGAUAGUGCCAAUGUGGAAACUUGUUCAAUCUUAGAAUUGUAGAGUUGGAAAGAGUUGCAAGUCCCAUUUAAUCCAAUCCUGUGCCUGUGCGGCGAGCAAUGAUAUGGAUCUAACUCUAACUCAAGUACUGUAUUUCUUCAAUUCUAAGACACACCUUUUUCCUUUUUAAACAUCUCUAAAAUAAUGAAUUUGAUCAGAAUUACAAGGACUAAGGAAAAAUGCACACCUCUACAGUUUACAAAUAAUACUAUUACAUAUUAAAAACGUGUGUAAGUGCUUUCAAGUCACCUGUCAACUUAUAACUAACCAAUACAUUUCAUAGCAUUUUUAAGGCAAGGACUACUUGGAGAUGGUUUCACCAGUUCUGUACAGAAAGGUAAACAAACAUGUCUGACAGUGUUAAACAAAGUUAAACAAAACACAUUGGUGCAGUUAUUUCCUGAAAACCUGGUGGAAUAAGGAAGCUUUCACUUGCUUGAGGAAGAAGAGCAAGAAAGACACCUUUUUGGUUCCAAAAUCAAUUCUAACUGGUGGGAGCAACCACCAAAAAGACCUCCUGCCUUAUUCCCACUAGAUGUGCUUAGGAAGAUAACAGAAGAGAACAAUUUGGUCCUUCAGAUAGUCUGAAUCCAAGUCAUAAGUGUAUAUUGAGUCAAAAGGAGAACUAUUAUACCCAGAAAUGGACAAGCAACUGAGGCUAUUUCAGCAAAGGAGUUGGCUACCUGUAGCAAGCCCCAGUUAACAAUAUAGUUAAAAUUCUUUGGGAUAAUUGAUGUUUCUGAGCACUUUUCAAAGUUAAACAUAUUUGUUGCAACACAAUUACCAUAAUCCCCAGUUAGCUUGAGCAUUUUAGCAAGGUUGAGAAAACUGUAGGGGCAUGAGAAUUUGAAGGGAAAGAGUACUGUUCGGAAGAAGGGACAUGAUGUUGGAUAUAAGCCAUAACCCAAAGUAUUUCUGGGUAGUAUAUGAAGCAGCCUGCAUAAUUUGGCUCUUCCAUGGGAAAUAAAUUAGAACCAACAGUAGCCUGCCUUCCAUUUGAAAGACAAAAGGCCAGCACGUGUGACCAAGCAUGAAAUAUCAGAGCAUGGUCAAGAUGAAUAACGUUAUUAAUGAGGAAGAACACACAAACUAUGCGAAGUUAGAGCAGUUCACUUUUUCCUGAGUGUUCAGAGAAGGACAAGAUUCUCUUCUCUCAAUCCACUGAAUCAAUUAAGUUCAAACUAUUUUUUCAAUUUAAAGAGAAUUGCAGCAACUGAAUAAAGCUGGGGACAAAGGGGGGAAGUGGAAGGAAAGAGAAACCAAGACUUUUAAUAUCAGCUUGAAAAGGGGGAUAACAAAAAAUAAUAUGGCUUAUCUUUCUAAAUUGCGACAGUUGGAGGGUAUGUACAAGUCUCGCUUCAGUUUCGGAAUAGAUAAGGUUUCUCAGUACCAACAUUUAUGCCAAAGCACUGCGUUCAGUUUUGUGCUAGUGAAUAGUAACAACUUCUGCUUAUAAACACAGAUUUUGCUUAAUAGGAAAGUGUCAAGAAGUUGCACGGUCAGUUGAAUCUGUCAGGUCAUAUUAGUCUCAAUUUGUACUUUAAAAUUAUUAUUUUUAAUAAACUGAAGAAGUUUUGUCAUGGACUAUUUCUUUAAUUAAAUAGAUCAAAGGUCUUAAAGAGCAAAAACAAAAACAAAAAACACUGUAUAAUGUACAGCCAAAAGACCCAACAUAUAGAGUUUAGAAUUGGAUGGCAAUCAUAUUUUUCCAGUUGCUGAGCUUGAACUGCUAUAAAUCCUACAGCCUCUUGGACUGCAACUCCCACAAAUCUGUAGAGCAUGGCCAAUUAUGAGAUGUGCUAGGUGCUGCAGCUUGAUACAAUUUGGAUGGCCACCUGACCCCCACCACUAAUUUAGAACCUUGCAUAGAUUACUGAAAAUAUGAAGUGUCAUCCAGAUUUGAUUAAAGGCAUUGUGCAUCUCUUCUGCUGAAUGGCAUAGUAUCCUUAGGAUAGCAGAGCAGAAUUUUGUACAUGCUGACAGGUUUCCAGUCUCAUAUCAAGCCUUUAUAUUUACUUCUGUCAAUAUUUUCCCUGGAUGCAACAGUAGAUGUUGAAAGAAAAUAUUUUCCUUAUGUUUUCCUAAUUUGGAGUGUUCUCGUGACAAUAAAAAUUUUGGACAUGAAAAGGAGAGCAUAACAGAACAUGAAGCAUGUGCUUUAAAGAAUUAACUAAUCAGAGGACAAGCGCCAUUGGAAAAAUUAUUUAUUAUUUAUUUCCAUCAUUUCUAUCCCACCCUUCUCACCCGAGGGGACUCAGGGCAGCUUACAAGUCUGACAGAAUUUGAUGCCAAUACACCACAGUACAAUAAAAUUAAACAAUGAAACAGUUAAAACAGUUAAACAAAAUAACAAUAUGCAAUAUACAAAAUUUAAAAACAAUAUAAAGUAAUUGAACCAUUCAUCCACAAGACCUUGUACAUAAAUCUUAAUCCAGUCCGAGUCGAAGCCAACAGAACUUAUUCUUUAAACACUUGCAUGCACAGCCAGGUCUUCAAUUUCUUUCUGAAACCCAAAAGGGAUGGGGCCUGCCAAAUGUCACUAGGGAAGGUGUUCCACAGCCGAGGAGCCACUACUGAGAAGGCCCUGUCUCUCGUCCCCACCAGCCGUGCUUGCGAUGCAGGUGGGAUCGAGAGCAGGGACUCCCCAGAUGAUCUUAAGGUUCUCAUAGUCUCAUAGGAGGAGAUACGUUCGGACAGGUAAGUUGGACCAGAACCAUUUAGGCUUUGUAGGCCAAGACCAGCACUUUGAAUUGGGCUUGGUAGCAUAUUGGCAGCCAGUGGAGUUGACACAACAGAGGAGUGGUAUGCUCCCUGUACACCACUCCGGUUAUAAGCCUGGCUGCCGCCCAUUGUACUGAUUGAAGCUUCCGGGCCAUCUUCAAAGGCAGCCCCACGUAGAGCGCGUUGCAGUAAUCCAGGCGGAAUGUAACCAGAGCGUGGACCACCGUGGCCAA